UGAACACAGCUGGUGAUAUCUCU
Molecule: microRNA, 23 nt
Filed under: Eisenia fetida (common brandling worm)
Lineage: Eukaryota; Metazoa; Annelida; Clitellata; Crassiclitellata; Lumbricidae
Description: Efe-Mir-317-P5_3p (mature (guide))
Source: RNAcentral